CAAUGUGAUAGAAGAAUAACCCUUUUAUUCAUUUAUAGUCAAAAUUAUAAAUUUGCCCUUAGAUCUGUACAGAAAUGUGUCAGCCGAUCUGGCAUCUAGGGCACACAUCUAACAGCCCAGUAUUACAAUACAAAGGUCAAACCGAAGGUCUUCCAUCCAAGAGAUUUGAUCCUAAAGAAGGCAAAAGUUUUAAAAUCUUUGGAUCAAGAAAUCCAAAUUGGGAAGGACCCAAUAGGGUAACUGAGACACUCCGCCCGGAUGC
This 262-nucleotide long non-coding RNA is filed under the name Elaeis guineensis (African oil palm). Its description in RNAcentral is "long non-coding RNA (EGUI_LNC048417)". The record is from RNAcentral. Lineage: Eukaryota; Viridiplantae; Streptophyta; Magnoliopsida; Arecales; Arecaceae.